GUUAUAUAGUCAAGCGACUAAGCGCAUACGGUGGAUGCCUUGGCAGUCAGAGGCGAUGAAGGACGUAGAAACCUGCGAUAAGCGUUGGUAAGCUGGUAAACGAGCUUUGACCCAACGAUUUCCGAAUGGGGAAACCCAUCCGUCAUAAGGCGGAUAUCCUGCACUGAAUUCAUAGGUGUAGGAAGCGAACCCGGAGAACUGAAACAUCUAAGUACCCGGAGGAAAAGAAAUCAACCGAGAUUCCCCUAGUAGCGGCGAGCGAACGGGGAUCAGCCGAUGGUUGUUGUGUUAGUGGAAUGCUCUGGAAAGUGCAGCAAUAGAGGGUGAUAGCCCCGUACACGAAGACACAGCGAUCACAUAUUAAGUAGGACGGGACACGUGUUAUCUUGUCUGAAGAUGGGGGGACCAUCCUCCAAGGCUAAAUACUCCUGACUGACCGAUAGUGAACCAGUACCGUGAGGGAAAGGCGAAAAGAACCCCUGUGAGGGGAGUGAAAUAGAUCCUGAAACCGUAUGCGUACAAGCAGUGGGAGCAGACUUGUUCUGUGACUGCGUACCUUUUGUAUAAUGGGUCAGCGACUUAAUUUUAGUAGCAAGGUUAACCGUAUAGGGGAGCCGUAGGGAAACCGAGUCUUAAUAGGGCGCAUAGUUGCUAGGAUUAGACCCGAAACCGAGUGAUCUAUCCAUGAGCAGGUUGAAGGUUAGGUAACACUGACUGGAGGACCGAACCCACUGUCGUUGAAAAGCCAGGGGAUGACUUGUGGAUAGGAGUG
RNAcentral lists this ribosomal RNA (772 nucleotides) under Oleiphilus sp. HI0080. RNAcentral describes it as "bacterial LSU rRNA". It matches the Rfam family "Bacterial large subunit ribosomal RNA", at positions 1 to 823 of the family's 2925-position model. The record is from RNAcentral. Lineage: Bacteria; Pseudomonadati; Pseudomonadota; Gammaproteobacteria; Oceanospirillales; Oleiphilaceae.